Molecule: long non-coding RNA, 887 nt
Organism: Octopus sinensis (East Asian common octopus)
Lineage: Eukaryota; Metazoa; Mollusca; Cephalopoda; Octopoda; Octopodidae
Exons: 4
Source: RefSeq, a predicted model, not a curated record
CUAUCUAUCUAUCUAUCUAUCUAUGCUCUUCGCGCCACAUAAGGCUUCCAUGCACGUUUUCCAUUUAUCCCUUUGUUUUUCAAGUUUCCUUGCCGCAUUCCAUGAUGAACAUUCAGCUUGAUUCCUUUCCUUUUCCACUGUCCCUUUUCAUAUGGUCAUUGAUCUUCCAACUUUUCUCAUUCCCUCUGGCUGCCAAGUCAAAGCAAUCAUGCAAUGAUAAUUGAGUUCCUUUCUUAAUACAUGUUCAAUCCAAUUCCAUCUUUUCCCUUUUACUUCUUGGCUUAUCCUGUGGACUUGGGUUAUUUUGCUGAGUCCAUCCAUUGAUAUUAUGUUUCGCCCCCCUAUCUGAAUUAUUUUCUUCAGGUUUUUGUACUGAAAAGAAUCCAGUUUUCUCUUAUCACUAUUGUUCAUUGUACAAGUUUCACAGCCAUAAAGAAGUACAGGUCUUACCAGCGUUUUGUGGAGUUUAAUUUUUGUAUCACUUCCAAAUUGUUUUGAUCAUCACACUUUGUCCAAUUUGAUAAAAGCACUUCUGGCUUUGUUGAUUCUGCUUAUCAUAUCUUUUCCUCCACCACCUUCAGCAUAGUCCAGGUCUUCAAGGCAUGACGUCAUUUGCCAUCUUAUCCCAAUGUUAUUCAUCGUGGUCUUCCUCAUCCCCCUGUCUAUGACGAGUAGAAACAAGAAUCCAGACGUAACGUCGCCUUGUUUUACGCCUGUUUUUACUUGGAACCAUUUCACCAUCGUCCACUACUGCACAUUCACCAUCUUUGUACAUUAAUUUGACUAUGUUGAUAAUUUUGUUUGGUAUGCCAUACUGCCUCAUGAUCUCCCAUAAACUGUCCGUAUGAACUAAAUCGAAAGCAUUUCGAGAUUGAACAAUAUAUACA